CGAGUGCGCAGCACGAGUUUAAUCCAUAGCGGCGUUCGGUCACAAGUUGUCUUAUUUUUGAUAUUCAAAUACGGCGAUUAGUUAUUCUUUUUAUUACAUUGGCAAAUAGCUUUUUUUUUAUGAAAUUAAUGUAGAAAAUGUAAGGAACUAUAUCUUUUUCCUACGCAUUAACAAUUUGUUUUGAUCCGACGUUAUCGACGUCUUGACAACGCCUAUUGUUGUAUGACGUCAGAGAGUGAAAUAACCACGUUUAUUUCACAUGUGAAAUUAUCGGUUUUUAUCUAACUGGGAAAUCAAUGUAAUUCAUUGCAACCAAUGUAAUAAUUACAGUUAUCAUAUU
Molecule: long non-coding RNA, 340 nt
Filed under: Mytilus galloprovincialis (Mediterranean mussel)
Lineage: Eukaryota; Metazoa; Mollusca; Bivalvia; Mytilida; Mytilidae
Source: RNAcentral